RNAcentral lists this long non-coding RNA (8874 nucleotides) under Canis lupus familiaris (dog). RNAcentral's name for it is "lncRNA (ENSCAFG00000055673.1)". The record is from RNAcentral. Lineage: Eukaryota; Metazoa; Chordata; Mammalia; Carnivora; Canidae.
UUUUUAAGUAAUCUCUACACCCAAUAUGAGGCUCAAACCUACAACAACCCUGAGAUCAGGAGUCACAUACUCUGGGGCACCCGGGGGGCUCAGGGGCUGAGCAUCUGCCUUCGGCUCAGGGCGUGACCCCGGGGCCCUGGGAUUGAGUCCCACAUUGGGCUCCCCGUGGGGAGCCUGCUUCUCCCUUUGGAUGUGUCUCUGCCUCUCUCUGUGUGUCUCUCAUGAAUAAAUAAAACUUUAAAAAAAAAGAGUCACAUACUCUACUGAGCCAGCCAGGUGUGCCUAUUUUUAUUAAAAUAUUUAAUAAUUGGGGAUCCCUGGGUGGCGCAGCGGUUUAGCGCCUGCCUUUGGCCCAGGGCGCGAUCCUCGAGACCGGGGAUCAAAUCCCACGUUUGGCUCCCGGUGCAUGGAGCCUGCUUCUCCCUCUGCCUAUGUCUCUGUCUCUCUCUCUCUCUGUGUGACUAUCAUAAAUAAAUAAAAAUUAAAAAAAAUAUUUAAUAAUUGAACUAAGGUUCAAGGAAUUAAAUAACAAUUCAGCCUAAAUUAUUUUAAUUUAAAAUGUAAUACUUAUUAUUUAUAAUUUGUAUUGCCUUUUAACAGAUUUUUUAAUAUUUUAGUAAUCUUUUGAAGACUUUCAUUUAAAAUGAUUUUUGAUGACUUUAAACUUAUAUUUUGAUGAAAAUACAUCCAAAUUUCGAUGUUUAUAGCAACAAUGUCCACAAUAGCCAAACUGUGGAAGGAGCCUCAGUGUCCAUCGAAAGAUGAAUGGAUAAAGAAGAUGUGGUCUAUGUAUACAAUGGAAUAUUACUCAGCCAUGAGAAACGACAAAUACCCCAUGUGCUUCAAUGUGGAUGGAACUGGAGGGUAUUAUGCUGAGUGAAGUAAGUCAACCGGAGAAGGACAAACAUUAUAUGGUCUCAUUCAUUUGGGGAAUAUAAAUCAUAGUGAGAGGGAAUAUAAGGGAAGGGAGAAGAAAUGUAUGGGAAAUAUCAGAAAGGGAGACAGAACAUAAAGACUCCUAACUCUGGGAAACGAACUAGGAGUGGUGGAAGGGGAGGAGGCAGGGGGUGGAGGUGAAUGGGUGACGGGCACUGAGGUGGGCACUUGACGGGAUGAGCAAUGGGUGUUAUUCUGUAUGUUGGCAAAUUGAACACCAAUAAAAAAUAAAUUUAUUAUUAUAAAAAUAACAAAUUUGACACACAUUUUUUAAUACUUUAGAUUUUUUUAAAAAUUAUUUAUUUAUUUGCGAGAGAGAGAGAGAGAGAGAGAGAGCACAAGUGGGAGGAAGGAAACAGAAGGAGAAGGAGAAGCAGACUCCCUGCUGAGCGUGGAGCCCAACCCCAGCCUGGUCCCAGGGUUGACCUGAGCUGAAGGCAGACACAUAACUGACUGAGCCACCCAGAUGCCCCUAAUCCAUUAGAUUCUUAUUGUCAAUUGAAAACCAGGUAUGGUAAACAACAUAAUUAGUGAUUUUUUUUUAAUGAAGAUAAAAAAAUGUAAAUGUAUCUUAUGAAUUGAAUUAAAUGUCUAUUUUUUUAAUUUUAUUCAUUUGAUAGUGAAAGGGAAUAAGGGGAAAGGAGAAAAAAUGAGUGGGAAAUAUCAGAAAGGGAGACAGAACAUGAGAGACUCCUAACUCUGGGAAAUGAACUAGGGGUUGUGGAAGGGGAGGUGGGUGGGGGGUGGGGGUGACUGGGUGACAGGCACUGAGGGGGGUACUUGAUGGGAUGAGCACUGGGUGUUAUUCUGUAUGUUGGCAAAUUGAACACCAAUAAAAAAAAUUUAUAAAAAAAUUGUACUCAUUUGAGAGAAAAAGACAGAGAUAGUAACAGAGAUAGUGAGACAAAGCACAAGAGGGGAGGAGAGGGAGAAACAGGUUCCCCACUAAGCAGGGAGCCCGACAUGGGGCUCUAUCUCAGGACCCUGAGAUCAUGACCUGAGCCGAAGGCAGAUGCUUCAUUGACUGAACCACCCAGGCGCCCCUAAAUGUCUACUUUAUUACCCCAUCCAAACAUUUCCCAUCAGCAUAAUACCAGAGCAUGCAAAGUAAUCAUUAAAUUCCAUUAUCAGGAAUAUUUUGCCAACUUUCAAUGACAUAAAGACCAUGGCUUUAUCUAUAUUCUGUUAUUAUAAAAGCACAUUUGUCAAAGCAGCAGAACAUAGUAUAUGUAGCACUGAGUUAUAACUCUCAUUCUUUAGACAUACGGUAUGUCAUCCAUUUGCAGCCUUGCCUGAGGUCUGAUGGAUAUUAGAAAAGGGGUCUUUCUUCAAGCAACUCAACUUAUGUCCCACACAAUGUGGUGCCUUUGUUUAUUUCUCAGAUAAGUCAGAGCCCACAAGAGUGAGAAAUAAGAUGCUGAGUGGCAAUCACUGAAGGAAUUUGUCGGCUAUCUCUACAUCCUGUAUGUGGUACAGCAGACCCAAUGUCUGUAGAGCCGUGUGUCAGUCACUAAGGGACUAUUCUGACACAACCAAUGUUUGCAGACAGUGUGUGUGUUAGUCAUCUACUGCCGUGUAACCAAUCCCCACAAACUUAGCAGCUUAAAAUAACACGCAUUUAUUAUCUCACGGUUUCUGUGGGUCAAGAAUCCAGACACAGUUUAGCUGGAUCCUAUGCUCAAAGCCUCAAGCUUGUAAUCAAAGUGUCAGAUGGGCUGCAUUCUCAUCUGCAGGCUUGACUGGGAAAGAACCCAAGCUCAUUUGGGUUGUUGGCAAAAUUCAUUUCCUUGCAGCUAAAGGUCUUAGGGCCCAACCUCUUACCAGCUAUUGGCUGGAAGCCACUCAGAUCCUAGAAGCCACCCAGAGUUUCUUGCCACAUGGCUCUUUUACAAUAUGCCCAUAAGCUUUUUCAAGGCCAACAGCUGACCCUGUAUGUCCAACCUGCCAAGGCAGAGACUUAUAUAACAUAAUUAAAGGAAUGAUAUCCUAUCACUUUGCCACAUUCUAUUGGUUAGAAGCCAAGUUACACAUUCUGCCACGUUCAAGAGAAGGGGAUGACAAAGAGGUUAUCCUCCUUGGGGGGGUCACCUUAGGAUAUGCCUGCUAAUGUGUAUAUCUGUAUGUUCUAGCAGAAUGGUGAGAUCCUGAGAAAAUUUCCAUGUAGGGGCACCUGGGUGGCUCAGCUGGUUAAGCCUCUCACUCUUGGUUUUGGCUCAGCUCAUGAUCUCAGAGUCCUGAGACUGAGCCUGGUGUUGGGCUCCAUACUCAGUGCUGAGUCUGCUUGAGAUUCUCUCCCUCUCCCUCCUCUACUGUCCCGACCCCCCCACACACUGUCUCUCUCUCUCUCCCCCCCUUCUCAAAUAAAUACAUAAAUAAAAUAUUUUUUAAAAAAAUUCCCAUCUACCUAGAGAAGAAAGGUGAUGGACACAAUUUUCAGAAAUUCAUACGGGCCAUAUAUUUGUCCUAGCUGGAAGGUUCCACACCGUGAAUUGUACUAAAACUGCUGUUGUUUGCCCUAGAUCUUUCUAGGUGUCUAAUCAAAGUAGCAACCAGUCAUUUUCUGCUCUCUGCCUAGUUACAAAGUUCUGGGUAUACUAUACAUACUCUUCGAGAAGACAUUUCUGGUCAUGAAUUCAGCAUCAGUUUCCAGAAUUUCCUGAUAGAUCCAAACUGCAAGGUCCUAUAAGAUAUACACAGAAGAUGAACCCAACCCUGUUUUAUUAUCAUUUGCAGCCCUGUUGGUAAGGAAAGACAAGACGCACAUCCAAGAAUGAAAUUUCAUUCUAAUAUCAUCUUCUCCCUGAGGCCUCCAGUGAAAGCCUCCUCCCCUCCCUCCUCCUUAUCCUCUAUUAAUCCACAUACAAACACAGCUUCUUGUACAGAGUCCUGCACCCUCUACACCUUGACUAUCCCCCUAUAAUCUCUCUCCCAUUACACUGGGAUAUCUUUGAGGCCAGGGCGAUUUACUCAUACCUACAUGGCCAGCCCCUGGAACCACCCCUGACAUGGAGCCAUCUCUCCACAUGAUUCAGAUGGAUGGACAGAUUGAUAAUAGAUGAGCUGUAUGACGGUAAACAGUAUAGGACUGCAGGGGUGAAACCCUUGUUCAAGCCAUGCCACUUCUCUGAAGGUAUUUCUAAUUUUCCCAUUAGUAAAAAAUGGAAUUGUACAAUAUUCAGCAAAGGAAUUGGACAUAAUAAAAUUCUUUUUAUUCCUGUGAUUCCAUCUAAUAGGAAGUUCAAAACCAGGCAAAACUAAUUCUUAGUCAGAAUGGGAGGGUGGAAGAACUGCCUGGGAGUGAAAUGAAGAAAACUUUUGCUAGAAAUAAUCUAAAGCCUGGUCUGUAGACAAGUGUAGGCAUAUAUAAAAUAUACAUCAAGCUGUUCAUGUAAGAUCUGUGAGCUGUACGCUAUGUAGCAUACUGAAAUCUUUAAAAAUCUAAAUUAGGGCCCCCGGGUGUCUCAGUGGUUGAACAUCUGGCUCCGGCCAAGGCCGUGACCCUGGAGUCCCGGGAUCGAGUCCUGCAUCGGGCUCCCCAAGGGGGCCUACUUCUCCCUCUGCCUGUGUCUCUGCCUCUCUCUCUCUUGUGUCUCUCAUGAAUGGGUGGAUAAAAUCUUUAAAAAAAAAAUCUAAACUAAAAAGAGGCUGAGAGGACUGUGUCUGGGGGCUCUGUGUAGAGCACAGCGCCAUUACUUCACUAGGAGUCCUAUCAGGGAAAGUGGUGUUGGCAGUGUGAUCAUCUUGAAGGGAUCAGCAUGAGAGUCCUCCUCAGUUGUUUAACCCAGGGUUCGCAGGACUUGCUGACGUGGGCAGGUGCCGCUGGAGGAAUGCUACCAUUUCCUCUGGGUCACGUUAUCCUCCUCUGUGGACCUUGAAGAUCAGGUACUGCUUCAUUAAAUGAUUCCCUGAAGUCUACCUUAAAGCCAGGGAACAUCAUCCCAGCUGUCAGAGAGACAUGCACCUGUCUCUGGGGUGACAUCCGCCAGGUUAUACUCUGGUCCAAGGCUGCACAAGGAGCUCUGUGACGCCUUCCGGCACAAAGACCACGGGCUCGUUUGCUAGAGGUAUGUGAGGACACGUCCAGGGCUGCUCCCAAUGGGACUCCUGUGUUACAGAUUUUCUGCAGCUGCAAACAGGUAACUGUGCUGGCUGUUCUCUUGUAUCCCAUAUUCAUUUGAAAAAGCAGUUAAUUGUACACUACUGGUCUCGUGAUGCAGGGGAGAAAGCACGACAUCAGAUGCCAGAUGACAAAGAUGGCAGAUUACAUGGCUCCUCCCAAAGCACAUGUGUUUGGAGAAAUUGUGUCUCCAGGUUAGUACGGGAGGCUGGUGAGAAACCAGGCCCUCUUGAAAAUGACUUCCAGCAAAGUGGACCUAUCUCCCUUCUGUGAUUUCAAAUGGCACCUGAGCCUAGCCCAAAAGCUGCUGUGUGCUCAUCAGGUCUAUCUCACUCCUACAAGACUGUAAGUUCCCUCAUAGCCAAGCCACGCCUUGUGUGUGUCCUGCUUCCCCAGAGUCCCUGGCCUAGGGCUGGGCACCGUCUGGUCACUGAACACUUGGUGACUUACAUACGUGUCAAAAUCCAAUAGUUAAACAAUUCAAACGUGUAACCAAUGCCCUUCAAGCACUGUCCUUGGCCUAGACAAGGAAAAAGGACAUGUAAGGUCUCAAGAUGUUCACUGCUAAGAGGGGAGAGGUCAGGAGAGGAUGCAUCUUUCUGCCAUGACAGAAGCCUAGUAGAGAGGUAAGUGGGGUGCCAUUCACUCCCUGCACAUCACUUUACAAAUGAAGUGUACCUACUACGAAGCCCUUGUCUAUCAGCUCUGAACCACCUCUUUGUACCUUGCUCAGCAAUGCUGGGCUGGAAAUUAGCAAAAUGCAAGUCACAUUGCCCUUUGACAUUGGUGCCCUGUCUGUUUCCACCACCAGGGGGCUUUAGACCGAGCCUGCAAGUGGAAGGAGGGGGUUCCUGACUGUGAUCCCCACACUGGCUCUGCACACCUGCCAGAGCUACCGGCGGCAUCUGGGCAGGGCCCACCUCUCCAAGGUCAGAGCCUCCGUUCUGAGAGGCCUCCCUCCAAUGCCCCACGAUAUCCACACCAGGCCAGCGACAGUCCCUCCUCUGCACUCUGAGCCAUGGCUUGGCAAGCCUCCUUCUCCAGGCUUAUUUCCUUGUUCCCUCAACCCUGUGGGGCAGUGGCUGCCUCUGCAGUUACCUCUUCUGUUUUGUGCAAGUUCCCUUCACCUUUGCAGGCCUCUCACACCUAUUUAACCAAUUUCCUCCAUUCAACUGUAUUAACAUGAACUAGUAUGCUCUGCUUUCCUAACCAGGGUCCUGGUCAGAAGGGAGGUGACCUGCCCAACACCUCUCGGGUACUCAGGGGCACAGCUGGCACCAGGAACCAAGCUCCCUGAUCCCAAAUCCUAAUUUUCUAUCCACAUUUGCAGACCGGAAUGGUCAAAGGCAGUACAGCAAAACGAUCAACUGGGUUUUAAAGCCAAACUACUCAGAUUCCAAUCUUGCAUCCAGCAAGGUCUAGCUCUAGAACCUACAGCAAGUUACUUCUCUGUGUUUCAAGUUUUCCCAUCAGUAAAAUACAAAUGGCAACAGAACCCAUCAUACGGAUGCUGUGAGGUGUUAACACAUGUCAAGCACUGAGAACAGGACUGGUAUAAGGAAUAGUCCUGGCUCCAUAAUCACCAUCAUCAUCACCAAGCAGCAGCAUGGCAGAAAGAGUAUAGUCCUCAGUCACAAAGAUCAGUGUUUAAAUCUCAGUUCUGUCUCCUACUGGCUGUGUGUCCUCAGCAAGCCACGUCACCUGAGCUUGGUGGCCUGUCCCUAUCGUGAGGCAGAUCUCACAGAGGAAGAAUCAAGACAAACACAUGAAACUCUCAAGGUUCAGCAACCAAGUCCUUAAUGAAAGGUUAUCUCUGCUGUUACUAAUUUUAUCAAAAUUUUGGUCUAAUGGGCCAAAAAUCUAGAUCACUGGGACAGGCAUGUAAUGAGUUUAGAACAAAGAUGCCUUGGGUUGUCAUCAUGGCAAAGGAAGUGAGUCUGUGCUCUCAAGACACCUCAAACUCUCGCCACACUCCUAGAUGACACACAAGGAUGUGGUCAAACCAGGACGACACAGUCGGCGGCUCCCAGUCUGAGCUCCGCAGUACUCACGGACUUGCUAUAACAUGGCCAUGGGAAGUUUAACUAUGAUUUACAUCUUCUCCACUUCCAAGAAGGAUUUUCAGUACCUAUAAUAGAAUGUUAUAAGAUGGAAACUUAAGGUCAGAAACAGAGAUCUGAACCCAGAGGUGAAGGGGGAGAAGGAUAUGGAUAAAGAUAAUCUACUCUGAUCCUGUGUCAAAAUGGGUAUUUUCUCUAAGUAUUAAAGAAAUCCUGUUUCCCAACAGCCAAAGUAAAAAGCGAAUCAUAAUCGUUUAUGUAAUUCUCAUUUUUCAUUAGGGGAAGGUAUUGUUUUAAUGGCAGAAAAUUUUCCAUGACACUAAAUAAGGAAAUUUAAUUGAGACUUUACGUAGGGAAUAUUGCAUUAACACAGUGAAUCGUCCCUUCAGUGGUCACUCUUCAGAAGGUAUGAGAACUCAAUUUGGGGCUUACUACUUGAGCAAACAGAGUCAGGUCAUUGCAACAUGAGACUGGUAGUUAUCUGUAGGAGAGACCAAAGAUGACAGCUCUAGCUUGCUCCAUCCUCCGCCAGGCCAGGAAUGGGAGUCACACAGUUUCUUGAAACACUUCCAGGAUAUAGAUUAAUUUUUUCCCUUCAAAGAAAGGCAAGAACAUGAUUGAGAACAGAAAGGCAACGUGCCGUGGAGGUGACAGAUGGAAACGUACGAACACGUGACCAAGAGCAACUCCUGAGAUCUGCCGGUCUCCAGCGCGGUCGGUCACCUGCCCGUGUGUGUCUGUGCUGCCAACCCGAUUCACCCCUCUGGCUUCUCUGCCCCACCUGCCCCACUGCUCAGGCUGGGGCUCUUCUCCCUGCUGACAGGGCCUCCACAAGUCAUGUCUAAAUAACACUCGAGCCAAGAGCAGCCAUCAGAGAUGAAGGGAUAAAAGAAAAAAAUAAUCCCAAGAGCUGAACCCAAGGCAGGACACACAGGAGUUAAGGACCUGGGAUUUAGAAUUAGAAGACACCGGCUCAGGUCCCAGUUCCAACACGUAAGGGUUUGUGAGACCUGUGGGCACAGUAUUUCGCCUCCAUCUACUUCCCCUCCCAUUUCUGUGCCAGUGGAUAUUGCCACACCGCACAGGGGGCAUUGCUGUUGGAAGGAGUCCCUGGAACAAAGCCGGUACAGGCCUCCCGUCCCUCUUGGCCACCUGCUCCGUGCUAGCUGUGAGGAGGAGGACGAGGCCCGGAGGGGUCCCCUGCAAGGCAGCACGGCCUUCUCCAGCAGAGACGCGUCCGCUCCAGGAAGAGACCUCAACAUCUCAGUGGCAUCACACCGCCAAGCUGCCCUCUCUUUCAGGCUCAGGGUCCCGGGUGCGCCAGGCUCCGCAGCCACACGUGGCUCCGUGACCACUGCACACCAGCCGGUGCGUCCGUCCGGGAGGCUCGCUUCUGCUCAGCACGCCUGAGGCAAGGUGGCCGCAUGCUCCUGCCCACGGGCCGGGGCUUAUUUCCUUAAAUGCAGUGUUACUGGAACACGGCAGCUCCCAGUCUUCACAGAUAGUCUGGGACCGCUUCCCAACCAGGACAGCAGAGCCAAGUUACAGCAGAGCCCCAGGGCCCAAAAGCUUAAACUAUCUACUGUGUAGUCCUUUAAGAAAAAUCUUGGGACCCCCCAGGUGGCUCAGUGGGGGAGUGUCUGCCUUCGGCUCAGGGCGUGAUCCUGGGGUCCCCGCAGGGAGCCUGCUUCUCCCUCUGCCUGUGUCUCUGCCUCUCUGUGUCUCCAUGAAUAAAUAAAAUCUUUAUAAAAAAAAAAAAAA